UCUAAUUAACAACUUAUGGUUUAAAAUUAAAAGAGAGACAGGAGUGCAUAUGUGAGAGGAAAAGAGAUACAUGAAUAAAAUGAUAUGUGAGAGGGAAAGAAAUAUAGAAAAUGAAAUGAAUAUGAUAAAGAGAGAGAUACAAAAAGGGACAUAAUGAUUGUGAGAAAGAGAAAAAAUAUUGGUCUAUUUAUAUAAUUAUAAUAAUUGUUAUAUAUGAAAUAUAUGAAUUAUACAUGCGGAGCCGUCCACCUAGUUUUAUCUUAAGGCAUCUCCAAUCUUAACAUCGAAAUCACACUAAAUUUAGUGUUUUGGUGUCAUUGUUUUUUUUUCUCAUCUUUAACCAUGACACCAAAAAUAUUACACCAACAGUAAUAUAAUAUAUUAUUUGAUAUUUUCAGUUUUAAUAUUACUUGUAAUUAAUAAAUAAUUAUUUUAUCACACUUUGAUAUUAUGUUUGUUAAUUUUUUGUAAUUUUAUGUUUAUAAAAUUUAUUUAUAUUUAUAUAUUUUUUAAAAUAUUGUACUUUUAUUUAUUUGUUUUAUAUAAAUAUUAUAUCAAAAAUUACAAACUGUUAAUUAUAAAAAGCACGCAACCAAAUUAUAUACUUAUUUUAAUAAAAUCUGUAUUAGUUAGUAAUACAAAUUUAUUAUAAAAUAAAAAUAAAAAUGUUAUUUUAAUGUUUGGUGGAUAUAAUAGUACUACAUAAAGUUUGUAAUUAAGUACUAUUAAAUCAAAAUUUACAAUAAAGUAAUAUUAUUAAUUGUUUUUUACUGAUUAAAUUGAAUAAAGAUUAUAAUCGAUAUUUGAAAAUAAAACUAUAUUACAUCAUACUGAUUCUUAAAAAUAUACCAGAUAUGUAAAAUAUAUUUAAAAUACAAAUAAUAACGUAUAUUUAUGUUUAGUUACAAAUUUUAAUUAAUAAUAAUAAUUGAACUACAUUAUUAAAUGAAACAUAAGCAAAAUAUGCAUAUAAACUAUUUGGUGUGAUAAAUAGUGUUACGCCAAAUUUGAUGUAACACAAUUCAUUCAACACCAAAUUUGAUGGGAUGGUGUUUUUUGGUGUCUCACUGGAGAAAAAAUCAUACCAAAUUUGAUGUUUUGGUGUACGAUUGGAGUUGGCCAAGAUUUUAUAUGUUUUAUUUGAUAGCUUGUUUUACUAUCUCUUCUUAAGGUGAUCAGUACCCUUGAUCUUUCUAACAACUCUUAAAGACUUAUUCAAAUAUGCAAGUAACUUUUAUUACC
Long non-coding RNA from Brassica rapa (field mustard), 1242 nucleotides. RefSeq lists it as uncharacterized. The record is from RefSeq and is a predicted model, not a curated record. NCBI's taxonomy places the organism in Eukaryota, Viridiplantae, Streptophyta, Magnoliopsida, Brassicales, Brassicaceae.